GCUGAGCUCAGCAACGUGAGUUUGUAACCCGAGUGGGGGCUUUAAUGUGGUGGGACGUUGACCAUGCUUAUAAGGUCGGGUCCAGUGCGGCUGUUAUCUGGCCCGCCCGUUCCAAGCCAGGAGUUGAACCAAGGCAUCUUAGUGAAGACCUGGGUGUCUCAGCUCUUAGAGUGGAGGGCAUAGCGUGAGGCUGGUCUCACAGAGCAGCGAUCACCUCUCGCUCCUGGCAGUGGAAGGAUAACGGGUCGGUGCCAUCUGGAUCCGCAUGGUCUGAUGGGCUGGUCCUAAUUGAACCAUCACUUUU
This is a non-coding RNA of Populus trichocarpa (black cottonwood), 304 nucleotides long. The record is from Rfam. NCBI's taxonomy places the organism in Eukaryota, Viridiplantae, Streptophyta, Magnoliopsida, Malpighiales, Salicaceae.